AGUCAAUAAGUUUUAGAUAAACAAAUACUUUGAAAGUAUAAAAAGGGAGUUUAAUUCUUCCAUUGACUU
This 69-nucleotide transfer RNA is filed under the name Picromerus griseus. Its description in RNAcentral is "tRNA-Ser". It matches the Rfam family "tRNA". From Rfam's summary of the family: Transfer RNA (tRNA) molecules are approximately 80 nucleotides in length. Their secondary structure includes four short double-helical elements and three loops (D, anti-codon, and T loops). The record is from RNAcentral. Lineage: Eukaryota; Metazoa; Arthropoda; Insecta; Hemiptera; Pentatomidae.